GGAUAUUAAGAUUUGUAUAAUGUAUCAAGAACCACAUAAUCCAAUGGUUAGCUUUACUCCAAGAUGAGGGGGUUGUUGAUUUUUGUCCGUUAGAUAUGGGAAAUAUGUAAAACCUUAUCAUUAUAUAUAGGGUGGUGGGCAACUAUGCAAUGACCAUCUUGGAAGUUAAGGAAAAGGGAGAAAGAGAAAUCUUUCUGUCUAAAGUGUAAUUAGCAAUGGCUUCCUCUGUUCUUUCCUCUGCAGCAGUUGCCACUCGCACCAAUGUUGCUCAAGCUAACAUGGUUGCACCUUUCACUGGUCUUAAGUCAGCUGCCUCAUUCCCUGUUUCAAGGAAGCAAAACCUUGACAUCACUUCCAUUGCUAGCAAUGGUGGAAGAG
This 378-nucleotide long non-coding RNA is filed under the name Nicotiana tabacum (common tobacco). RNAcentral describes it as "long non-coding RNA (NTAB_LNC009839)". Lineage: Eukaryota; Viridiplantae; Streptophyta; Magnoliopsida; Solanales; Solanaceae. The record is from RNAcentral.